This 242-nucleotide RNase P RNA is filed under the name Candidatus Saccharibacteria bacterium RIFCSPHIGHO2_12_FULL_48_21. Its description in RNAcentral is "partial RNase P RNA component class A". It matches the Rfam family "Bacterial RNase P class A", at positions 118 to 367 of the family's 367-position model. From Rfam's summary of the family: Ribonuclease P (RNase P) is a ubiquitous endoribonuclease, found in archaea, bacteria and eukarya as well as chloroplasts and mitochondria. Its best characterised activity is the generation of mature 5'-ends of tRNAs by cleaving the 5'-leader elements of precursor-tRNAs. Lineage: Bacteria; Candidatus Saccharimonadota. The record is from RNAcentral.
AAACGAUACCACCAAGCCCCUAAAGGACUUGGAAAGGGUGAAAGGAGUGAGGUAAGAGCUCACAGCGACCGUAGGUGACUACGGGAGGAGGUAAACCCUGCCUACUGCAAGGAGACAACUAUCGGGUAGCCAGCCACGUUGUCGAUUAACCCGCUUGAUCCGCCGAGCAAUUGGCGGACUAGAUAGAUAAUCAGCACUCGCCUCGGCGAGUACAGAACCCGGCUUAUAGAUAGUCUGGGCUA